AUGGAGCAACUUGUCUCCACUGAUCAGGAAGUAGAGACUGCAGAGACAGAACCGGAAAUUAGGCCAGGCUAUACAGUAAGGCCUACCUGCUCUAAGGACUUACUUCCUCUGGGAGCCCACGCCUCAGUUCCAGCGGAUGCUUCCCUGAUCUUGCCUCUACCACCAUCCACUGCUGUCUUACUGCCCACCUUGGCCUUCCUGCACUCCAGCUGAGUCCUCUCCGGGAUGGCUGCUGCCUUUCACCCAAGCCUUGCUGCUGCAGCCUCUGCCAGAGACAGCUCCUUGUGGACCCAUGUCAAAAUGGGACUUGCAGAUCCCAUACUCAAGAGAGACACCAACAGCAAGAUGAACCUGGCACUUGGUGCCUACUGGGAUGAUAACGGCAAGCAUUACAUGCUCCCCAGUGUCCAGAAGGCAGAGGCCCAGAUUGCUGCAAAAAAAAAUUGGACAAAGAGUACCUGCCCAUUGGGGGACUGGCUGAAUUUUGUAAUGCUUCUGCAGAACUGGCCCUGGACGAGAACAACAAGUGUUGAAAAGUUUGUCACUGUGCAGACCAUUUCCGGGACUGGAGCCUUAAUGGUCAGAGUCAGUUUUCUGCAAAGAUUUUUUAAAGUUCAGCCGAGAUGUCUUUCUGCACAAACCAUCCUGGGGAGAUCACACGCCCAUCUUCAGGGAUGCUGGUAUGCAGCACCAAGGUUAUCGAUACUAUGACCCCAAGACUUGCAGCAUAGAUUUCUCUGGAGCCAUAGAAGACAUAUCAAAAAUCCCAAAGCAGAGUGUUCUCUUCCUGCAUGCCUGCACUCACAACCCCACGGGCGUGGACCCGCGUCCAGAGCAAUGGAAGGAAAUGUCAUCCGUGGUGAAGAAAAAGAAUCUCUUUGCAUUCUUUGACAUGGCCUACCAAGGCUUUGCCAGCGGUGAUGGUGAUAAGGAUGCCUGGGCCAUGCAGCACUUCAUCGAGCUGGGCAUCAAUGUCUGCCUCUGCCAAUCGUAUGCCAAGAACAUGGGCCUGUACGGUGAGCGAGUGGGAGCCUUCACGGUGGACUGCAAAGAUGCGGAAGAAGCCAAAAGGGUGGAGUCACAGCUGAAGAUCCUGAUCCGUCCCUUGCAUUCCAAUCCACCUCUCAAUGGGGCCCGGAUCACUGCAACCAUCCUAACUUCUCCAGACUUGCGGAAGCAACGGUUACAAGAGGUGAAAGGCAUGGCUGACCACAUCAUCAGCAUGAGGACCCAGUUGGUCUCCAACCUGAAGAAAGAGGGCUCUUCCCACAACUGGCCGCACAUCACCGACCAGAUCCGCAUGUUCUGUUUCACCUGCCUGAAGCCUGAGUAGGUGGAGCGGCUGACCAAGGAGUUCUCGGUCUACAAGACAAAGUAUGGCCGAAUCUCCCUGGCAGGGGUCACCUCUGGCAAUGUGGGCUACCUUGCUCAUGCCAUUCACCAGGUCACCAAGUAA
Non-coding RNA from Arvicanthis niloticus (Nile rat), 1456 nucleotides. The record is from RefSeq and is a predicted model, not a curated record. Lineage: Eukaryota; Metazoa; Chordata; Mammalia; Rodentia; Muridae.